Molecule: ribosomal RNA, 482 nt
Filed under: uncultured bacterium
Lineage: Bacteria
Description: bacterial SSU rRNA
Rfam family: Bacterial small subunit ribosomal RNA
Source: RNAcentral
AUUGAACGCUGGCGGCAUGCCUUACACAUGCAAGUCGAACGGCAGCGGACCUUCGGGUGCCGGCGAGUGGCGAACGGGUGAGUAAUAUAUCGGAACGUACCUUCAGGUGGGGGAUAACGUAGCGAAAGUUACGCUAAUACCGCAUAUUCUGUGAGCAGGAAAGCAGGGGAUCGCAAGACCUUGCGCUGAUUGAGCGGCCGAUAUCAGAUUAGCUAGUUGGUGAGGUAAAGGCUCACCAAGGCGACGAUCUGUAGCGGGUCUGAGAGGAUGAUCCGCCACACUGGAACUGAGACACGGUCCAGACUCCUACGGGAGGCAGCAGUGGGGAAUUUUGGACAAUGGGCGCAAGCCUGAUCCAGCCAUGCCGCGUGAGUGAAGAAGGCCUUCGGGUUGUAAAGCUCUUUCGGCCGGGAAGAAAUCGUAUGGGUUAAUACCCUGUGCGGAUGACGGUACCGGCAUAAGAAGCACCGGCUAACUACGUG